CAUGUUACUUCAUAAUCAAUGUGCGAAUUAGUAGGGAACCAGGAUGGAAUCAAUUGAGUACUCUGUUACAAAUGAUGCGGGUUACACGAUUACACGACGUUCAAAUGGUACAUAUACAAAUAUAACGAGCCAGGAGAAUGGAAGUAGGAAACAUGUGAGCCUAACCCGUACACCAUAAACCCCAACCCCCCCCCCCCCCCUCUUCCCCUCUCCCCCCCCACCAAAUUAAUCUCUUUGGCAUAUCCGCUCGAACUAUCCGGAUGAGCUGUGCCGACCCCAUUGAGUUGUGCUUCAAGCGUAGCAUUGGCUGGGGGGGGGUGUGUGGUGUUUUUAUUUUUGGUCUGAGAUGUUGGAUCUUGUCUUCUAGGUCGUGUAGUUUGGAUUGCCUUCAUAUUUCUUGCAGAACAUGAAGUACCCGCACCCUAAUAGGAAUUGGGGGCAGGCCGUGUAAUAGCGAUACCGGUGGCUCUCGUUAGGGUUCACACACAAAACGGCCGGUUCCCAACAGUCACACAACGGCAGAAAACCCAUACUUAUUACAGGGCUUCAUUGGUUGGUUUGUGAAAGUGCUAGAGGGGAGAAUGUAAGGGGCGUUGGGGGUGGAAGGAAUAGACAAUUAGUAGGAGGAUGAGUAAUAUUUAUAGAGACAGGCCCUCACCGUAAUUGGUGGCGUACCUAUACCAAAAGGAAUGACAAACAUGUACAAUAGUGCCUCAGUUUAUCAUUCAUUUACAAAGGCAGUACCCGAGUAGU
RNAcentral lists this long non-coding RNA (753 nucleotides) under Linum usitatissimum (flax). RNAcentral describes it as "long non-coding RNA (LUSI_LNC005044)". The record is from RNAcentral. Lineage: Eukaryota; Viridiplantae; Streptophyta; Magnoliopsida; Malpighiales; Linaceae.